GGAAUGUUGUUUGGCUCGAGGUCAUCUGUGAUAGCCUCUGAAAUUUUCUUAGGGGCCUUUUUACUUUCCCGGAAAAUUUCUGCAUCUACAUACCUCUAGUUGAUCUCGGACCAGGCUUCAUUCCCG
This 126-nucleotide microRNA precursor is filed under the name Carica papaya (papaya). RNAcentral describes it as "miR166d stem-loop (cpa-MIR166d)". Its record names the gene cpa-MIR166d. The record is from miRBase by way of RNAcentral. Lineage: Eukaryota; Viridiplantae; Streptophyta; Magnoliopsida; Brassicales; Caricaceae.